RNAcentral lists this long non-coding RNA (1011 nucleotides) under Ananas comosus (pineapple). RNAcentral's name for it is "long non-coding RNA (ACOM_LNC006697)". Lineage: Eukaryota; Viridiplantae; Streptophyta; Magnoliopsida; Poales; Bromeliaceae. The record is from RNAcentral.
GAUUGUUAUUAUUUUUUUAUAAGUCUAAAAUUUUUUAUAAGAUUGUUAGGAUUGUAUGUGAAUUAUUGUAAAUUUUAUUUGAUUGUUAGAAUUGUAUCAUUAGGUUGUUAUGAUUAUAUAUGAUUUUUUUAAACUUAUAUAUAAUUAUUAGGAUUAUAUAUAUUAUUUUUAUUAAAAGAAAAACAUAAAUGAUUCACCGUCUUUUAAAUUUUAUUAAAAAUAAUAAAUAAUUAAUAGUUUUUUAAUUAUUUUUUAUCUCACUAAGUUAAAUAAAAUAGAGUUAUCUAGCGAAAUAAAAUUUUCAACCCAAAAGCGCUUUUCAACCCAAAAGUGCUUUUCAAAAGCUUGCCCAAACACUCCCAUAAUGAGAUGGCAUGACCCAAUUGUUAUAUUUUACUUUUCUAUACAUGUUUGUAGAGAGAGGCUGGUACGCUUCUAAAAGUAAGGAGCUCUUCAUACAUUCAAGUUGCUUUCGAUGUUGAGACUUUCAAAUCGAUGAUCAAUUCCGUUAAAUUUGAUUUAGAGUAUUUGAAGUAUCUAAAAAAAUAAAUUUCGUGAUUUUUCGAUAUUAUUUGCCUACUCAAAAUCAAUAAUUUUAAUAGUCAUGGUGAACUGUUUGCAAGUUUAACGGUGUAUAAAUAUCCAAAUUAAGUGAAAUUUUGAUUAAAAAAAAAUUAUACUAUAUAAAACAAGUUCAAUAUUUUUGAUUUAAAAUUUUAUUGUCAUAUCAUAAUAUUUUAUAAGAUUUUUAUUUUCAGCCAUUGAUUUUGAGCCCUUUCAAUCACUAGAUAAAUGAUUCGAAAGUCUAGAUUUGGAUAAAUGAUUUUGAGCCGUUGAUUUUGUGAAAUUUAUUUUUUAGCUAUUUUAAAUACUCUAUAUUAAAUUUAACAGAGCCGAUCGUAUAUUUAAAAAUACUAAUAUCGAAAACGACUUGAAAGUACAAAAAUCUCCGUACUUUUAGAAACAUACCAGCAUCACUCCAUGUUUGCAGUGGUUUAGAGUUAGGAUAAA